CCUACGGGUGGCAGCAGUGGGGAAUAUUGCACAAUGGGGGAAACCCUGAUGCAGCGACGCCGCGUGAGUGAAGAAGUAUCUCGGUAUGUAAAGCUCUGUCAGCAGGGAAGAAAAUGACGGUACCUGACCAAGAAGCACCGGAUAACUACGUGCCAGCAGCCGGGGUAAUACGUAGGGGGCAAGCGUUAUCCGGAUUUACUGGGCGUAAAGGGAGCGUAGACGGCAGGGCAAGUCUGGAGGGAAAGGCGGGGGCUCAACCCCCGGACUGCUGUUGAAACUGCCAGGCUGGAGUGCAGGAGAGGUAAGUGGAAUGCCUAGUGUAGCGGUGAAAUGCGUAGAUAUUAGGAGGAACACCAGUGGCGAAGGCGGCUUACUGGACUGUAACUGACGUUGAGGCUCGAAAGCGUGGGGAGCAAACAGGAUUAGAUACCCGAGUAGUC
RNAcentral lists this ribosomal RNA (440 nucleotides) under uncultured bacterium. RNAcentral's name for it is "partial 16S ribosomal RNA". It matches the Rfam family "Bacterial small subunit ribosomal RNA", at positions 338 to 795 of the family's 1533-position model. The record is from RNAcentral.